This 990-nucleotide ribosomal RNA is filed under the name rhizosphere soil bacterium RSI-29. RNAcentral's name for it is "bacterial SSU rRNA". It matches the Rfam family "Bacterial small subunit ribosomal RNA", at positions 9 to 1028 of the family's 1533-position model. The record is from RNAcentral.
GAGUUUGAUCAUGGCUCAGGACGAACGCUGGCGGCGUGCCUAAUACAUGCAAGUCGAGCGAGGAACUUCGGUUCCUAGCGGCGAACGGGUGAGUAACACGUGGGCAACCUGCCCUCAAGCCUGGGAUAACUCCGGGAAACCGGGGCUAACACCAGAUAAUCUUUUCCAUCGCAUGAAGGAGAAGUAAAAGUUUACACUUGAGGAUGGGCCCGCGGUGCAUUAGCUAGUUGGUGGGGUAAAGGCCUACCAAGGCGACGAUGCAUAGCCGACCUGAGAGGGUGACCGGCCACACUGGGACUGAGACACGGCCCAGACUCCUACGGGAGGCAGCAGUAGGGAAUUUUCCGCAAUGGGGGCAACCCUGACGGAGCAACGCCGCGUGAGUGAAGACGGUCUUCGGAUUGUAAAGCUCUGUUCUUGGGGAAGAAACAAAUGACGGUACCCAAGCAGAAAGCCCCGGCUAACUACGUGCCAGCAGCCGCGGUAAUACGUAGGGGGCAAGCGUUGUCCGGAUUUAUUGGGCGUAAAGCGCGCGCAGGUGGUGGAUUAAGUUGUGGGUAAAAGGCAUUGGCUCAACCAAUGUAAGCCUGCAAAACUGGUUCACUUGAGUGCAGGAGAGGGGAGUGGAAUUCCCGGUGUAGCGGUGGAAUGCGUAGAUAUCGGGAGGAACACCAGUGGCGAAGGCGACUCUCUGGCCUGUAACUGACACUGAGGCGCGAAAGCGUGGGGAGCGAACAGGAUUAGAUACCCUGGUAGUCCACGCCGUAAACGAUGAGUGCUAGGUGUUGGGGGCAUCACGUCCUCAGUGCCGAAGGAAACCCAUUAAGCACUCCGCCUGGGGAGUACGGCCGCAAGGCUGAAACUCAAAGGAAUUGACGGGGGCCCGCACAAGCGGUGGAGCAUGUGGUUUAAUUCGAAGCAACGCGAAGAACCUUACCAAGGCUUGACAUCCCAUUGACCCCUGUAGAGAUAGAGAUUCCCUUCGGGGCA